CCUCUCUGAGCUGUGGCUCCAUCAGCGGAGAGAGGAGCUGCCAUGCCAGGGCCCGGAUGCCCAUAGUCCCCAGCCUCCAGGUGACUAGGUCACGCCAACAGAGGCGUCUUUCAGCUAGCUUAUUUACACGUGCUGCAAACAUCGAGGUGAUCGUUCUUGAAAUUGACAAGACUACACAAAGCAUGAAACCUGAAGGCUGAAGUGCUACCACCAAACAGGUCAGGACUGAAUAACUAUGAGGAUCCCCCAUGGAGUUGUAACACUGACCCUCUCCUUUGCUGCUGCUCCAUCCUCUCCACACAGCCCGCUCGCCUCUGCAGGUGGAAGCCCACAGUGGGGGUACUUUUUUCGGGCAUUCCUCUGGUACACAACAGGAAGGAGGCACAGCCAAAUUGUAAAGACUGGUAUCCCCUCCCGACGGGCAGGUUUGACCUUUGACCUCGUGUACUUGACCCGGCUGCUUGGGAACGACUUUUGUGGAAGUCAGACAUGCUGAGGCCCUCUUGUGCAGCCAGCCUUGACCAACUUCAAUUUGAGCAGGAAGAAGACAUGACAGCAAAAGUGCAAUGAGGUCCAAGAUGUUAUUGCUUUGCCUGGAAUGUUCCAAGCAGCCCCCUGGAGACCGAGGAUAAUAGACAGCUAACAGGGAUCGGCAGAAUGGGCCUUUCACUGGCCGGCUAUUGUCUACGCGCCAAUACACCCUCACCCCUGCAUUUGGCAACAACGGAGACCCCGAUCAAUCCCCUCAGCUGACCCCCUCC
Long non-coding RNA from Boleophthalmus pectinirostris (great blue-spotted mudskipper), 761 nucleotides. RefSeq lists it as uncharacterized. The record is from RefSeq and is a predicted model, not a curated record. The transcript is spliced from 7 exons. NCBI's taxonomy places the organism in Eukaryota, Metazoa, Chordata, Actinopteri, Gobiiformes, Gobiidae.